RNAcentral lists this ribosomal RNA (603 nucleotides) under Geosmithia putterillii. RNAcentral's name for it is "eukaryotic LSU rRNA". It matches the Rfam family "Eukaryotic large subunit ribosomal RNA", at positions 1 to 634 of the family's 3401-position model. The record is from RNAcentral. Lineage: Eukaryota; Fungi; Ascomycota; Sordariomycetes; Hypocreales; Bionectriaceae.
ACCUCGGAUCAGGUAGGAAUACCCGCUGAACUUAAGCAUAUCAAUAAGCGGAGGAAAAGAAACCAACAGGGAUUGCCUUAGUAACGGCGAGUGAAGCGGCAACAGCUCAAAUUUGAAAUCUGGCCCCCAGGCCCGAGUUGUAAUUUGUAGAGGAUGCUUCUGGCGACGCGACUUCCGAGUUCCCUGGAACGGGACGCCAAAGAGGGUGAGAGCCCCGUCCGGUCGUUCGCCUAGCCUAUGUGAAGCUCCUUCGACGAGUCGAGUAGUUUGGGAAUGCUGCUCUAAAUGGGAGGUAUACGUCUUCUAAAGCUAAAUAUUGGCCAGAGACCGAUAGCGCACAAGUAGAGUGAUCGAAAGAUGAAAAGCACUUUGAAAAGAGGGUUAAAUAGUACGUGAAAUUGCUGAAAGGGAAGCGCUUAUGACCAGACUUGGGCUAGGUGAAUCAUCCGGCGUUCUCGCCGGUGCACUUUGCCUGUCCAGGCCAGCAUCAGUUCGCUUCGGGGGAUAAAGGCUUCGGGAAUGUAGCUCCUCCGGGAGUGUUAUAGACCGUUGUGUAAUACCCUGGGGUGGACUGAGGUACGCGUUCGCAAGAUGCUGCUAUAU